GGAGCCCGCCUAGGCCUUCGUCAGCAUCCAGAGAUGCUGGAGGCAGGGUGCUGUGGUCAGCUCCCGGUGUGCCAGUCAGACUGGCAGCGGUGCCUCCACCUGGUGUGUUUGACUGUCAGUGGCGAUGGUUUGGGCUUUCUGUCAUUUCCACUGUCUGUGAUGGCUCAGGAUGGGUAGUGAGAGUUCUGCGUUGGAGAUACUCUUAACAAAAACUCAGUCAUUUCUGUGUGUGAUUUUUAAAGCAGUACAUGCUUAUUUUAAGAAAAUUAAAGGAAUAUAUGACUUAGAACAAGAACCCUUAGUCACUGAUUUUGUGGUUCCUGAAAAUCAGCUCUUUAGAUCUGUUUCCAGGACAGGUAGACAUGAAAAUGAAAAGAUUCUAGGGUUGAUUUUAUUUUGUGAAGAAAGGUAGUUCUGUUUCCGUCUGUCCCCCGAUAGACCUUGGGGGCAGACACCACUGUAUCCUCUGAGACCCCAGAUUAGAACUGAGGACUUAGGAAAGGGGAGACGGGUCGGGGAGCUGGCUCUUGAGGUGCCUUGGUUUUUGAAAAAUCAAACCCUGGAAGUAGCUGGCCAGAGAGGACCUGGGGGUGGUGGGGCCCCGGCUGAAGCGAGAGAGCCCGCUGCCGCUCCUGGGGUCCCUGUGACAGGCGGGCCCUCACCCUUCCGGGCACUCAGGUUUCUGCCCGACAGACGGCGAGAGGACCAAGGGACGUGGGACGGUGAUUUUUAAAGCAUCUGGUAGUUGUUUCCCUUAGAUUUGGUUGAGGCCAGGUAAUGGUUAAGGCAGCAGGCUCUGAUGUUGGAGCUCUGAGUUCACCUUCUGGCUGGGCCACUGGCUAGCAGUGUAGCUUUGAGGGGUAUUUAACCUGAGCCUGUGUCCUCUUAAGAUGGGCGGAUGGCGCUUCCCUCAGGGCCCCUGCGUGAGGAGGGCGAGAGGCGUGUCUACAGCAGGCGUAGCAGUAGCUCUUAGCUUGUGGCCUGUCUCUGAGGGUUGUAAAUCCAGAAGGCAGGACCAAGAUUGUAUUCCUCACAGUCACACCGGGACGACGCAGAAACUGUCGGCAUCGGAAACCAUCUUACCCGGCGGCCCCCGGGCAGGUUUACCUCAACACCGUUCUUCCUGCUGCGGGUCCUGCUCAGGGCUCCGGAGAGGAAGGUCCCAGGGCUUCCACCGAUCACCCGCUCCUGGGAGUUUUUCAUAAACCCCACUAACUGCUUUUAAAAUUGUGUGACCAGCUCACCCAUGUAGGAAAUGACCCUGAAGUCCACCACCACGUAAUCACUGUUGAUGCUGUGAUGCUGUCUCGUCCAGUAUUUUUCUAAAAUGCACACGUGUGUGUGCUUUAUAAAACUGGUGUCCAACUGUGUGUAUGGUUUCUAUCCAGCUCUUUUCACUUAAUAUGUGAACUUCUGUAUCAUUAAAUAUUUUUGAGAAUGU
Molecule: long non-coding RNA, 1441 nt
Filed under: Balaenoptera musculus (blue whale)
Lineage: Eukaryota; Metazoa; Chordata; Mammalia; Artiodactyla; Balaenopteridae
Description: lncRNA (ENSBMSG00010004176.1)
Source: RNAcentral